CCUACGGGAGGCAGCAGUUUCGAAUCGUUCACAAUGGGGGCAACCCUGAUGGCGCGACGCCGCGUGGGGGAUGAAGGUCUUCGGAUUGUAAGCUCCUGUCAUUGGGGACUAAUGGCCAGGCUCAUACCCUGGUUUGAAUUAACCCAAAGAGGAAGCAGUGGCUAACUCUGUGCCAGCAGCCGCGGUAAUACAGAGACUGCAAGCGUUACUCGGAUUCACUGGGCGUAAAGGGAGCGCAGGCGGACUCAUGUGUCGGACGUGAAAUACCGGGGCUUAACCCCGGUGCUGCGUCCGAAACUAUGAGUCUAGAGACUUGGAGGGGUAAGCGGAAUUCUUGGUGGAGCAGUGAAAUGCGUAGAUAUCAAGAGGAACACCAACGGCGAAGGCAGCUUACUGGACAAGAUCUGACGCUCAGGCUCGAAAGCGUGGGGAGCAAAAGGGAUUAGAUACCCCUGUAGUCCACGCUGUAAACGGUGCGCAUUAGGUCUUGGAGCUUUCGAACGCUCCAGGGCUCAAGCUAACGCGAUAAAUGCGCCGCCUGAGGACUACGGCCGCAAGGCUAAAACGUCAAAGGAAUUGACGGCUGAGACGNGCGAGGCGACGACGAGGGAGGAGG
This 616-nucleotide ribosomal RNA is filed under the name uncultured bacterium. RNAcentral describes it as "bacterial SSU rRNA". It matches the Rfam family "Bacterial small subunit ribosomal RNA", at positions 338 to 947 of the family's 1533-position model. The record is from RNAcentral.